This 253-nucleotide ribosomal RNA is filed under the name uncultured bacterium. Its description in RNAcentral is "partial 16S ribosomal RNA". It matches the Rfam family "Bacterial small subunit ribosomal RNA", at positions 524 to 776 of the family's 1533-position model. The record is from RNAcentral.
UACAGAGGGGGCAAGCGUUGUUCGGAAUUACUGGGCGUAAAGGGCGCGUAGGCGGCCUUCUAAGUCGAACGUGAAAUCCCCGGGCUCAACCCGGGAACUGCGUCCGAUACUGGAAGGCUUGAAUCCGGGAGAGGGAUGUGGAAUUCCAGGUGUAGCGGUGAAAUGCGUAGAUAUCUGGAGGAACACCGGUGGCGAAGGCGACAUCCUGGACCGGUAUUGACGCUGAGGCGCGAAAGCUAGGGGAGCGAACAGG